RNAcentral lists this long non-coding RNA (374 nucleotides) under Elaeis guineensis (African oil palm). Its description in RNAcentral is "long non-coding RNA (EGUI_LNC042556)". Lineage: Eukaryota; Viridiplantae; Streptophyta; Magnoliopsida; Arecales; Arecaceae. The record is from RNAcentral.
CCCCACAUACAAUAAAUUAUAUCUAUUAACUAUCCAUGUCCAAAUCUAAGCCAUGCAUAUAAUCAAAAAAUAAAAAUAAAUAUUGAGAUUAGAUCUCAAUAUAUUUUGUGUGUCGAGCUACACUGCAGUCGAUGAUCGUGGAUCUGAAUGGUUCUUUUAGCCAUGCACGUGGUUGACCUCCACAGAUAUCCAUAAGAGGACUCAUUCCAAUCAGAAAAGAGAUGAUCUCCCUGGGGUGCUAGCUCUCUUAUAGAGAUCUCCUCUUUGAUGGCUGAAGUAGCUUCUUUUCAAAUCUCACAGACUCUCUAGAGAUGAAGAAGAACUAGAGGAAGAGAGAAAAGGAAGGAGAGAGGAGGCUCGACUUCAAGAAAAUA